GACCCGAAAGAUGGUGAGCCAUGCUUGCGAAGAUUGAAGCCAGAGGUAACUCUAGUGGAAGGCCGUAGUGAUUCUCACGUGCAAAUAAAUCGUAUAACGUAUGUUGGCGAAAGACUAAUCGAACCCGUUAGUGGUUGA
RNAcentral lists this non-coding RNA (138 nucleotides) under Schistosoma mattheei. RNAcentral's name for it is "Eukaryotic large subunit ribosomal RNA". It matches the Rfam family "Eukaryotic large subunit ribosomal RNA", at positions 813 to 954 of the family's 3401-position model. Lineage: Eukaryota; Metazoa; Platyhelminthes; Trematoda; Strigeidida; Schistosomatidae. The record is from Rfam by way of RNAcentral.